RNAcentral lists this long non-coding RNA (5731 nucleotides) under Homo sapiens (human). RNAcentral describes it as "HSALNT0385511". Lineage: Eukaryota; Metazoa; Chordata; Mammalia; Primates; Hominidae. The record is from RNAcentral.
UACUAGGAGCUCCGUCUGUAGUGCCAGGGGCUCCCUCUGCAUGGGAUGUGACCCCCUCCUCUAUGAGGCUGGGUUAGACAAGGUCCUGUAGUUCCUCAUGGGGCUGGACUCAUCUCAGUGGCAUGUGGCUCCUGGAAGAAGGGGCUUCCCAAGGGCUUUGGGCUUUCCUGGGCUCUCCCAAAAGGAGUCCUGGCCCAAUCUGCCCAUGAUGAUGGCCCUGAGCACUGGCCUCUUCCAUGGGACACCCCCUCUCAGGGGCACUGUUGGUUUGUGUGCCCUGCAGGGACCUGCCUUUGCCUCCUGCUCGAAGGAAGGGACCUGGGUCCUUCUGAGGGAGCCAGACCUCUGGCCCAGAAAGCCAGACAUUGUGUGGAAGGAGCGUUCCUGGCCCAGGGUCUUCCUGUGUAUCCUUGCCCCAUCGAUCAAGUGCUGUGGGAGCUGUUUUAAGGUGAAAACCUAGAUGCACAGCACUUCCUUGUCCUCAUGAAAGGAGCAGAGGUCUUCACAGGCCUCUGGGCUGCCCCGAGAACCUCUCUAUUCCAGGCCCCUCUGCAGACCCCUCCAGACGCCAGAACUCCAGGCAGUGGCCUGAGCUGUCACUCCUUGCUCUGAGACCCCUACCUCUGCCAUGAGACCUCUUCAUAUUCCCCCAGAUGCCCCGAUCCCUCUGGAUUCCCCACCUCCCCUGGAACCUCCCAGAACAUGAAAUGUUUCUCAAAAUGUGGCUCAUAUCCAGGUUCAUUUUCACUGAGGACAUCUUGCCCUGCUCCUUCAUUGUCUAUAGGGCAGGGCCAAGAGCAGGAACCAGCCUCAGAACAGACAGGAGACUCACUGCUGCACACAGCACCAUGACAAAGUCAGUGCCUUUGUAGGAAAGGAGGGUUUUUCUCUGCAGAUAGUUGCUUCUCUUGCUUGUUUCUUAAGUCACAGAAUGUCACCAGAGCCCAGCUCACUUGUGGUGUCCAUGUCACUGUCUGUGCCCAGGAUGUGCUACUGACCCCCUAACUGCCAGGCUCGAUGUUCCCUCCAGCUGGUUAACUGGGCUCCUGACAUGGUGUGACAUGUCUGUGCGCUGGCUGGGUGUGGAAGGGCCUGACCUGGUGUAUUGCUGGAUUCUUGGCCUUCACCUUCUUGGCAUCCAGCAGGAGUGACCACGCUGGACCCCAUACCUGUGGGGGGAUUCCCUUGUAUACCUGCUGAGACAUCUGUGGACAGAAGAAUGCUCUGGUGAGGCAGGUGUCAGGAUGACCCCAAGGAUGAUAAGAAUCUAAGGAUUCUGGAACCUUCCAGCCUUUGGCCUUGUGGUUCCUCAGGAGAGGUUGAGUCUACCUAGGACCAGGCCUCCCUUCCCAUGAAUCAAGAGUGAACAAGAGCUCUCACAUCAGAUUGUCUCCCAGCAAGGUAACCCUUGCAGGGAUAGGCAGGAAAGUUGGGGACCAGGCCUGUUGUCUUUUGGGUGAGGACAGUGUGCCACCUGCUGUCUGAGAGGCAGGCAGUACCAAGAAACAGCAAGGGGUGCCUGUCCCCCAACUCUGGAGAGUGGUCACAGGGGACCCUCACUCUCCAUUGUGCCUUCUUGCUGCUCUUAGAUUUAUUUCAGUGGUUAAGCCUUUGUAGCCAUUUAUCUUUGCAUCCAAUAGCCUGAUGUUUUUGCCAUAAAUGAGAAAUGAUGGAGUUAGCUGAGCUGCCAGGCUUCCGGGAGUGGUUCUUGGAUGCUGGAUCACGUCAUCACUGAGGACUUCUUGCCCUGCUCCUUCAUUUCCAAUAUGGCAGGGCCAUGAGGAGGAACCAGCCUCAUCACAGACAUGAAACUCACUGCCGCACACAGCAACAUAACACAGUCAGUGCUUCUGAAGGAGGCUUUUUCUCUGGAGAAGUUUGCUUCUCUUGUUUGCCUGGUCAGUCAUUAGGGGCCUUGAUGGGGCUGAACUGGAAGGAGCCAGAAAAGGGCAGAUCUUGUGACUGAGACCCUCUGACUGAGUAGGUACCGGUGACCCAACCUCUGGAACACAGGACACACUAUUCUCAGGCCACAGAUGCCCUAAUCAGAUCUCAGCCUCCAGGUGGGGUCCUGGUGCCCAGUGGGCAGUGACCCCCAAGCCGCUACCCUGAAUCUUUGUGGCGGGUUUGGUAAAACAACUGCAGGGACAAGGCUUGGGUUGAGAUUCAGCAGGAAUUAUGGCCUCUCCCAUUGAGGGCAUGUGGCUCCCUCUCACCACCACCCAGGCCCACAGGCCACACCAUCUGUUUCACUGACCAGCCACCAAGUUGCCCAUUGAUGGGUGAGCCUCCCAUGUAGCAGGUACAGGCUGUUACCUUUGUCUUCAGGGCACUGACAGGGGCAGCUCUGUCACUGUAAGGCAGUGAAGAGAGCUGAAGAUCUGCACCAGGCCAGGGGCCAUCCCCCUCCCUGAGCAGGCCCCAGGAAAGGACUAGCCCCAUCCACAUCCACCCCAGGUCUCAGCCUCCCUGCUGGCUGAUACCCAGGAGAGGCUGGGAAAUGGGAACAGAGGAAGCACAGGGCUGGGCAGGUGCUGCUUGGGAUUCAUGGGGGUUUGGGUUACCCAAUGGGGUUGCCCCUCCUGAAUUGGAGUUAGCGUCCUCUUUGGGAACAAAGAAACUCUAGUCUUGAGGUGGGCCAGUGCUGCCCAGGUUUGUGUGUCUGGACCUUGAGAGAAGACCCCAGGAAGUGACCACAUCCUCAGGUUGUGGUGCAGGGAACCUGGCCUGAGAACUGCCCAGUGUGUUAAGGCCCCUGGAGCCUGUCUGCCCGAUGGCCCCACAGCCAUCGCAGGGUCUGACUAUCUAACCUGCCUCUCCCUGUACACUGGCUACCCACCCUUCCUGUUACUUUACUUCUCUAGCCUGUCUGCCUGGAAACCAUGCCAUGUCUUGGUUCCUGUCUCUUUAGGCACCCCUGUUCUUCCUUUAUCCUUGUUUUGUCAGAACGUCUGAGCAAGAACCCCCGAGAUCCAUCCACACACCUUCCUUGUCCACUUUUUAACUGGGCUGCUCAGCACUGCUGGUGGACACCAGGGGCAAUGAGGGUGACUGAGGGUUUCACAGGCAACCGGAAUGGCCCUGAACCCAGUCCCCAGCCUCAGAUGGUAUUUAGGGUCUUCAGCCAACAGCUUCCUCCCUCCUGUUGCAGCAGCCCUGACACGGGGCACCUGGCUGUCCUCCUCCCACUGUUCUUUUCUGACUCAGUCUCCCCAGUCUUCCCUCUGGCCAUGGUGCUGACCAAGCCAGCAGGGAGCUGGGUCUCUAGAGGGUGUUCCAGAGCUUUGGGACUGACUAAAGCUUCUCUGCUGAGGGGUCCCAGGUAAGUCCCUGCUCUUGGCUUCACCAAAUCUCCUGCCCUUCCCAGCUCCAUCCACUCUCCACAGGCUGGCUCCAUCCAGAUGCAUCCCAAAGUCAUCAGUUCCAUUGUGUCACCACUACCUCAGCUCCUCCAAUGACCCCUACAGGGACAGACUUUAUACUGGGCCCCUCCCACCAGACCUCAGAUCCCCUCUUACCAUGAAACCCUUGGUUAGAUCACCUUGGCUGCAAGCUCUGCUGCCUCCUUGCCUUUCCCAUGAGAUGCCCAAGCCAGGGCCCUGACCAUCUUCUCCUCCCAGGGCCACAGCUUUGGCUGCCCCUGUACCCCUCCCUGUGGGAUGGCAGGGCUGGGCUCCUUUAGCUCUCAGAGACCUGCUGGACAACUACCCACAGACCAUUCCAAGCACCCCUUUGUCCCAUGGCUAGACCCUGCAGAUCUCCAGGGCAGGCUCCAAGGGAGCAGGCUGGCCCCUCAGGCUGGCCCCCUCCUCUCUUGUUGACUUGGAGACUGGACUGCGCUGCUGUCCCCCUUGGAGAGCCUAGGGGCUUAGACCAGCCAUAUUUCUGUCUCCACUUGCUCUCUGGGUUCCCACAUUGGGAUACUCAGCUCUGGCCUAACACUGACCUUGGACUGGAUUUGCAGGGCACCUGGGGAGGAGUUCCAAUCCUGGGAAGGAGGUGGACUUGAGACAUGUCCUUCCUCAGAGAGGCCUUUUUCAAAAUAAAACCUAUUGCUGAGACGAGAUUGCUGGGGGUGGGGGCUCAGGAGACAGAAGACACACUACAGAAUCUGGAGAUAAUUGGUGAUUUUCUAGAUUAAAAAAUCUUCCUGCCUUAUGUCCACUGGCACCCUGGCCUGGCAUCCCUGCAAUGCAGAGGGGUCAAUGUGAGGGGGGCCAAGCUGUGGAAUGCAGAGGCAUGGGGUUGUGUGCAGCCACUCCCUGCCCUGUGUCCCAAGUGGGCCUAGGACCCUCUGACUACAGCACAGAAGGAGUGGUGAUCCCCCUGCCCCUUCGAACGAGCAGCCUGCCCUGUGUCCCCUCAUACUUGGCAAUAAUGUCCCCUUGAUUCUGGGUAAGAGGGUGUCCACAUCCUGCUCCAUGUCCAUCCUGCAAGAAAAAGAUAUUACACUGCAUUUGAAAACUUCAGAGAACACCCUAAACCAGGGUCCUGCCUGGGUCUCAAAAGCCAGCAAGGUGACCACAUUCUGUCACCAGGAACAAAAGCCCAGACCCAGUCCUCACCCCCGACCAGGGUCUCUGGAGUCUCUGCCCCUGUCCAAGGGUGAGUUCCUGCCUGAGGAUAUGAGAACAGGGGGGCUUGGACAGCAAGGUCUGUCUUCAAAUGCGCCAAGAUGGGCACAUGCUUGCUUCAGGAGGAUGAACAAUGUCCACCUGCCAAGGGGAAAGGGCCUAUGAUGGGCUGUUCUGGGCACCUGGAAGCACAGUGGGGUCAAGGGCCAGAGACCUCUAUAUGAUCAUGUAGGGAAAAGAAAGAGAGAUCAGACUGUUACUGUGUCUAUGUAGAAAGGAAAGACAUAAGAGACUCCAUUUUGAAAAAGACCUGUACUUUAAAUAAUUGCUUUGCUGAGAUGUUAAUUUGUAGCUUUGCCCCAGCCACUUUGCCCCAGCCACUUUGACCCAAACUGGAGCUCACAAAAACAUGUGUUGUAUGAAAUCAAGGUUUAAGGGAUCUAGGGCUGUGCAGGACUUGCCUUGUUAACAAAAUGCUUACAAGCAGUAUACUUGGUAAAAGUCAUCACCAUUCUCUAGUCUCAAUAAACCAGGGGCACUGUGGAAAGCCACAGGGACCUCUGCCCUUGAAAGUGGGGUAUUGUCCAAGGUUUCUCCCCAUGUGAUAGUCUGAAAUAUGGCCUCGUGGGAUGAGAAAGACCUGACCGUCCCCCAGCCCGACACCUGUAAAGGGUCUGUGCUAAGGUGGAUUAGUAAAAGAGGAAAGCCUCUUGCAGUUGAGAUAGAGGAAGGCCACUGUCUCCUGCCUGCCCCUGGGAACUGAAUGUCUCAGUAUAAAACCCGACUGUACAUUUGUUCACUUCUGAGAUAGGAGAAAAACCGCCCUAUGGUGGGAGGCGAGACAUGUUUGCAGCAAUGCUGCCUUGUUAUUCUUUACUCCACUGAGAUAUUUGGGUGGAGAGAAACAUAAAUCUGGCCUACGUGCACAUCCAGGCAUAGUACCUUCCCUUGAACUUAAUUAUGACAUAGAUUCUUUUGCUCACAUGUUUUUUGCUGACUUUCUCCUUAUUAUUACCCUGCUCUCCUACUACAUUACUUUUUGCUGAAAUAAUGAAAAUAAUAAUCAAUAAAAACUGAGGGAACUCAGAGACCGGUGCUGGUGCAGGUCCUUGGUAUGCUGAUCGCCGGUCCCCUGGGCCCACUAUUGUUUCUCUAUA